Molecule: long non-coding RNA, 654 nt
Organism: Alligator mississippiensis (American alligator)
Lineage: Eukaryota; Metazoa; Chordata; Crocodylia; Alligatoridae
Exons: 3
Source: RefSeq, a predicted model, not a curated record
CCGCCCCUGAACGUGUGUCCACGCGGCUCCCUCCCCCUGCGCUCGCGUGGAGGCAGAGAAGGCUCCAAACACCUGUCAAACGGCAUCAAGCAGAUGUGCUUCUUCCCCAAACCCAUCCCCAGCCAUGAGGCAGAGAAGGAGCGCUGAUUUGAAUUGAAUAAGACCAUUCAGAUUUCCCAGGAAACUGCCCCAAUUUGCAGGACCUCAUUUGGAGGCUUAGGCAGUAAUGAACUCUUACAUUACUGAAGUCAUGUGCGGUUGGUUAUAAGCCGUGUUUCCCAAUGCUGCAUUGACUUAUACGUGAAGUCGAGUUUUGCCUACCUGGACUGCACCGGUCACAUUUUGGGGCUGGUCAAAACCAGCUGAGAUGAAAGAAAAGACUCCUCAGGCGGCCUGAGGGAAACCAGGUCAGGAGGUCAAGGCAAGCCCACAGAGCCGUGCUGCGAGUGGGAAGGAGUCUGCUGGAGAGGCACAAACUGCAAGGGCAACCCGAAGGGUUCAGAUGAUGGAUAAGUCGCAUCACCUUCCCAACUGGAAAGUUAUCUUCUGUUAUGGCCUACACUGAUAAAGCACCUAGAGCAAAACACAGAGAGCACACUUCUGAGAUGCAGUGCGUGCACCACAAGAAACUUACAACGGGAACCUGCAAAGAGG